GACAGAGGUGCCGAGCGUUAGGCGGAAUCACUGGGCUUAAAGCGUGUGUAGGCGGACUUCUAAGUACCUUGUGAGAUCCCACGGCUCAACCGUGGAACUGCUCGGUAUACUGGUCGUCUUGAGCCACUUAGGGGCAGUCGGAACAGGUGGUGGAGCGGUGAAAUGCGUAGAUAUCAUCUGGAACGCCAACGGUGAAAACAGACUGCUGGGAGUGCGCUGACGCUGAGACACGAAAGCUAGGGGAGCGAGCGGG
This 253-nucleotide ribosomal RNA is filed under the name uncultured bacterium. Its description in RNAcentral is "partial 16S ribosomal RNA". It matches the Rfam family "Bacterial small subunit ribosomal RNA", at positions 524 to 776 of the family's 1533-position model. The record is from RNAcentral.